CCUACGGGUGGCAGCAGUGAGGAAUAUUGGUCAAUGGACGAGAGUCUGAACCAGCCAAGUAGCGUGAAGGAUGACUGCCCUAUGGGUUGUAAACUUCUUUUAUAUGGGAAUAAAAUGUUCCACGUGUGGGCUUUUGUAUGUACCCUGUGAAUAAAGAUCGGCUAACUCCGUGCCAGCAGCCGCGGUAAUACGGAGGAUCCGGGCGUUAUCCGGAUUUAUUGGGUUUAAAGGGAGCGUAGGUGGAUUGUUAAGUCAGUUGUGAAAGUUUGCGGCUCAACCGUAAAAUUGCAGUUGAAACUGGCAGUCUUGAGUACAGUAGAGGUGGGCGGAAUUCGUGGUGUAGCGGUGAAAUGCUUAGAUAUCACGAAGAACUCCGAUUGCGAAGGCAGCUCACUGGACUGCAACUGACACUGAGGCUCGAAAGUGUGAGUAUCAAACAGGAUUAGAUACCCCUGUAGUC
This 460-nucleotide ribosomal RNA is filed under the name uncultured bacterium. RNAcentral describes it as "partial 16S ribosomal RNA". It matches the Rfam family "Bacterial small subunit ribosomal RNA", at positions 338 to 795 of the family's 1533-position model. The record is from RNAcentral.